CAAUUUUUAUCAACAUUUUUAGUAUAAUAUAUUAUUAUACAUUACAUUAUUUAUGUAUAAUAUACUAGGAAAAUGUAUCAGGAAAGUUAUUGAAGAGGUAUGAAAAUGCAUAAAAAGUACAAAUCAAAUCGAAGUAGUUUUUCAAAUAAUAUAAUCGAUAUUUCCUGUAACUAAACAAAUGUAAAAGUAUUAACACAGCGUGGAACUGGAGAUUGGCCAUAAAUCCUAAAUGUAGUUAGGUUUUUAGUUUUUAAUUUGUAUUUUUCAGAUUUAUGCUUUAAAACAAAAUCAUUACACAAUAGUUAUCGGGAAAGUAAUCAAGAAGAAUGUUUGUUUGUUUUACAAAUAAUGUAAUUGAUGUUUUCCGCAACUAAACUAAAAGUAUACGAAAUUUAUCACAACGUGGAACUGGAGAACAAGAAUUGGCCAAAAAUCGUAAAUUUGAUUUGGUUUUUAGUUUUUAAUUUGUGUUUUUCAGACUUAUAAAGCUAAAAAAAAAAUCAAAAACCGGACAGCGAAAUGAAAUUAUAAUGAAAAUUGAGGACGACUAUAAGGUAGCAUUAUUGAAAAAUAAUAAUGGCAAGCCGAAUGACCGGAGGGAAACAAUUUUUGUCAACAGCAGCUGCUGCUGAUGCUGUUGGUGCCGGAUUGACAGCUUUUGUUUUCGCAUUAACUACAAGCUGUAAUUUGCAGCAAAACACUGCAAUUAACAGGCAAUUGCAGCACGGCAGCCCUCUUUUGUCUUCGGCCCCCAUGGCACACUAAACUAGUUUAGUCCGUCCGUCCCCCCUCUCUGUUCUAAGCUAUUCUAUACGAUCUGAUCAGAUCCGAGGUUCUCGAGUUCGUCUCCGGAUUUGGUGCGACUGAGGAAACGCCCUCCACGCCUUCCAGCACCAUUGCCUGCCACACAGGAAGAAAAAGUAUUAUGCAUAAUUCUUUGAAAUCAAUUCAUGAUAGAUAGAGACUUGGAAAAGCAGAAUAUGAAAUUACAUUCUUCGAUCAAUGUAAUACGUAUGUAAUCACUUUCACUUAUGGCCAAUUAAGCCACGGACACAUUAUAUAAUAUAUACAGAGUAUAUAAAAAUAAUAUUCUUUAGGCAUUUGCAUUUUUCAGAAGUUCUUAGAAAUGUUUUUCCCAAAAUAAUAAUAAUGGUUUAAACUAUAUUUAUAUAAAUAUGGCCAUUGAUCGGUUGGGCAAACUCGCCGGUGUCGUAUAUAAGGAUUUCGCUCCUACUACUAGAUUUCAGCAUAUGAAAUAUUUCUUCAUUUUUAAUACAUUUCAUUUUUUAGUAUGAUGUAUGUUUAAUGCAGUAGGAAUUCAUUCAUUUGCCAAAAAAUGUGGUUGGAUCGAUCGAAUGAUGAACGAAUUAUUCGGAUAAUAAAAUUAAUAACAGCAUAUUUUUGGAUAUAACAUAAUAUUAUGUUCCUAUUCCGACCUAUUUCCACAGAUAUAGUCAUUAAAUGAUACCAUGGUAUAUGUACUUAUUUAUAAUCUAGGGCUCAUUAUCUAGGUAUUUUUCUUAAUCAUUUCAAUUAAUUAAACAACCUUGCAGAUAUUUUAACGUUUUAAUAUCUUUCCACUAAAAGAUUUCUUGGUAUAAAAAUAAUCGUUCUUUUAGCAUUUAAUUUUUUAGAAGUUUUUAGAAAUGUCUAGCAGUCAAAAAUUAAACAAAGCCUCGAAUAUGUUGUGAUUGGAUCGUUUGAAUGAUGAACAGAUACAUAUUUCCUACGGAUUAUAUUAUUGGAUAUUUUGUAAAAUGAUUCCAAGGAUUUUCGAUAUGAUUAGAUAAAAUCAUUAAAUGAUACCUUCGUAUAUGGGUUUCUAUCGAAUCUAUUAAAUUGUAUGUAGGGUGAUCAUGGUCUACGUAUUUAUCUUAAUAUCUUCCAACUAACGAUUUUUUUGUAGAAAAAUAUCCGUUCAAAUAAUAGUUGAUAUUCUCUUAGCAUUUACUUUGUAUAGAAGUUUUUAGGAAUGUCUAGCAGUUAAAAAUGAAUUAAUUUAAUGGUUUAAAAUAAAAACACAGCCAAAAUAUAUAGAAAAUAUAUCAUCGAUAUCAUUUAUACACGGAUGAUAAAGUUAAUAUAAGAUAUUAAGGAUCUGCAAAGUAUAAACAGGGAAAACAUUAAGCCUACCUAUUUCCUCGGAUAAAAUCAUCAAAGGAUAUCUUCGUAAAUGGCUUUCUUUAGAAUUUUGUAGGGCUAAGGAUCUUGGUAUUUAUCCUUAAUCUUCUCAAUUUAUUAUGUUAAUGGUUAAAUUAUCAUCAAAUCAAUAUAAAGGUCGAAUCAACACCAUAAUACCUCUAUCGAAAAUGCGAAAUUUGGUUUCUCCCUUUUUCCUCCUUUAAGUGGCCGUAUUAUGUCCCUGGCUUAGCCAAUAGUUACAAUAUGGAUUGACAUACCUCGUUGGAUUUAUUAUUACACCAUGAUAAUUUCGGAAGUUGGACGUGAUAGAUAUGCAACAUAGACUAUACCAAACAUUCGAAUGGCGAUAGUUAUUAUUACGUUGUUUGAAUAUUACUUUUUAGAUACUAUGAUAUAGAUGUGGAAUAUUGCAGAACUAUAUAGAUUGAUUUCAAAAUGGAACUAUAUAAAUUGGAGAUGCUGAUAAGGAACGAACCAAUGAAAACCAUUGAAUGCAUUUUUUGCCGUGCACUUUCUGUCGUGGGCCGACUCGGGGCAUUAUAAUUAAUUGGAAAUCGGAGUCGAUCAAUCGGAUGGCAACCGCAAAAUUAAUAAGCAUGAAUGAUGCCGACGACGCGAGUGUUCGCUGUAAUUGUGGAUGCGCCGUAGUCAAAGUGGAGCAGACCAGACCAGACCAGACCAGACCAGGCCAGGCCGGGCCGACACGGGGCAAAGCAGAGCAGAGCGGAGCUGACGGGCUAAUCAAAUUGCUGGCAAUCAUGGAGCCGUAUAAGCAAAUGUAGCAAUUUCAGUCAAACACCGAGAGAGCCGGCAACUUGAUAUGGCCAAGUUGCAGACGGCAACAACCACUUGUGGCUGUGACGCUAUUCAAUUCGAUUCGCCUUUAACUUAACUUGGCUCAACUUGGGCUGGCUGUGGAAACCUCAGUCGAGUCAAUCAAAUGCAAAAUUGCGGUUCUUUGUUGAUUGUUGUUAAAUUUCGCAUAGCCGCUAUACACCAACAACAGCAACAACAAUUUCUGCAGCCAAAAUACAUACCUCGACAUGGUCCCGGAUAUGCCACGGCAAUGGAACGCCCAAUUUUGCAAAUCAUUCGAUUUAUAUCACAAACGCUCCUGUAUGUAUUCCCAUCAAC
Drosophila eugracilis is the source of this 3276-nucleotide long non-coding RNA. RefSeq lists it as uncharacterized. The record is from RefSeq and is a predicted model, not a curated record. The transcript is spliced from 3 exons. NCBI's taxonomy places the organism in Eukaryota, Metazoa, Arthropoda, Insecta, Diptera, Drosophilidae.